CGCCGCCGUAGCCGAUGGGCUCGGCGGCGUCGCGGAGCUGUUGCAGGUAGUCGGGCACCUUCCCGGCGACCGCCUGUUCGACGACGGCGGCGGUCU
This 96-nucleotide transfer RNA is filed under the name Rhodococcus (subgen. Prescottella) equi. RNAcentral describes it as "Rhodococcus hoagii tRNA-Ser". The record is from RNAcentral. Lineage: Bacteria; Bacillati; Actinomycetota; Actinomycetes; Mycobacteriales; Nocardiaceae.